ACACGACUACAUUAGAUACCCCUGUAGUCCUAGCCGUAAAUGAUACUCGCUAGGUGUCGGCCACGGUGCGACCGUUGUCGGUGCCGUAGGGAAGCCGUGAAGCGAGCCACCUGGGAAGUACGGCCGCAAGGCUGAAACUUAAAGGAAUUGGCGGGGGAGCACCACAACGGGUGGAGCUUGCGGUUUAAUUGGAUUCAACGCCGGAAAUCUUACCGGGACCGACAGCAACAUGAAGGCCAGGCUGAAGACUUUGCCGGAUUAGCUG
This 265-nucleotide ribosomal RNA is filed under the name uncultured archaeon. RNAcentral describes it as "partial 16S ribosomal RNA". It matches the Rfam family "Archaeal small subunit ribosomal RNA", at positions 717 to 982 of the family's 1478-position model. The record is from RNAcentral.